RNAcentral lists this ribosomal RNA (2362 nucleotides) under Salmonella enterica subsp. enterica serovar Newport. RNAcentral describes it as "partial 23S ribosomal RNA". It matches the Rfam family "Bacterial large subunit ribosomal RNA", at positions 587 to 2925 of the family's 2925-position model. The record is from RNAcentral. Lineage: Bacteria; Pseudomonadati; Pseudomonadota; Gammaproteobacteria; Enterobacterales; Enterobacteriaceae.
UGGGGUGUGACUGCGUACCUUUUGUAUAAUGGGUCAGCGACUUAUAUUCUGUAGCAAGGUUAACCGAAUAGGGGAGCCGGAGGGAAACCGAGUCUUAAUUGGGCGUUAAGUUGCAGGGUAUAGACCCGAAACCCGGUGAUCUAGCCAUGGGCAGGUUGAAGGUUGGGUAACACUAACUGGAGGACCGAACCGACUAAUGUUGAAAAAUUAGCGGAUGACCUGUGGCUGGGGGUGAAAGGCCAAUCAAACCGGGAGAUAGCUGGUUCUCCCCGAAAGCUAUUUAGGUAGCGCCUCGUGAAUUCAUCUCCGGGGGUAGAGCACUGUUUCGGCUAGGGGGCCAUCCCGGCUUACCAACCCGAUGCAAACUGCGAAUACCGGAGAAUGUUAUCACGGGAGACACACGGCGGGUGCUAACGUCCGUCGUGAAGAGGGAAACAACCCAGACCGCCAGCUAAGGUCCCAAAGUCAUGGUUAAGUGGGAAACGAUGUGGGAAGGCCCAGACAGCCAGGAUGUUGGCUUAGAAGCAGCCAUCAUUUAAAGAAAGCGUAAUAGCUCACUGGUCGAGUCGGCCUGCGCGGAAGAUGUAACGGGGCUAAACCAUGCACCGAAGCUGCGGCAGCGACACUAUGUGUUGUUGGGUAGGGGAGCGUUCUGUAAGCCUGUGAAGGUGUGUCGUGAGGCAUGCUGGAGGUAUCAGAAGUGCGAAUGCUGACAUAAGUAACGAUAAAGCGGGUGAAAAGCCCGCUCGCCGGAAGACCAAGGGUUCCUGUCCAACGUUAAUCGGGGCAGGGUGAGUCGACCCCUAAGGCGAGGCCGAAAGGCGUAGUCGAUGGGAAACGGGUUAAUAUUCCCGUACUUGGUGUUACUGCGAAGGGGGGACGGAGAAGGCUAUGUUGGCCGGGCGACGGUUGUCCCGGUUUAAGCGUGUAGGUGUGUGUUCCAGGUAAAUCCGGUUCACUUUAACACUGAGGCGUGACGACGAGGCACUACGGUGCUGAAGCAACAAAUGCCCUGCUUCCAGGAAAAGCCUCUAAGCAUCAGGUAACAUCAAAUCGUACCCCAAACCGACACAGGUGGUCAGGUAGAGAAUACCAAGGCGCUUGAGAGAACUCGGGUGAAGGAACUAGGCAAAAUGGUGCCGUAACUUCGGGAGAAGGCACGCUGACACGUAGGUGAAGUGAUUUACUCAUGGAGCUGAAGUCAGUCGAAGAUACCAGCUGGCUGCAACUGUUUAUUAAAAACACAGCACUGUGCAAACACGAAAGUGGACGUAUACGGUGUGACGCCUGCCCGGUGCCGGAAGGUUAAUUGAUGGGGUCAGCGCAAGCGAAGCUCCUGAUCGAAGCCCCGGUAAACGGCGGCCGUAACUAUAACGGUCCUAAGGUAGCGAAAUUCCUUGUCGGGUAAGUUCCGACCUGCACGAAUGGCGUAAUGAUGGCCAGGCUGUCUCCACCCGAGACUCAGUGAAAUUGAACUCGCUGUGAAGAUGCAGUGUACCCGCGGCAAGACGGAAAGACCCCGUGAACCUUUACUAUAGCUUGACACUGAACAUUGAGCCUUGAUGUGUAGGAUAGGUGGGAGGCUUUGAAGUGUGGACGCCAGUCUGCAUGGAGCCGACCUUGAAAUACCACCCUUUAAUGUUUGAUGUUCUAACGUGGACCCGUGAUCCGGGUUGCGGACAGUGUCUGGUGGGUAGUUUGACUGGGGCGGUCUCCUCCUAAAGAGUAACGGAGGAGCACGAAGGUUGGCUAAUCCUGGUCGGACAUCAGGAGGUUAGUGCAAUGGCAUAAGCCAGCUUGACUGCGAGCGUGACGGCGCGAGCAGGUGCGAAAGCAGGUCAUAGUGAUCCGGUGGUUCUGAAUGGAAGGGCCAUCGCUCAACGGAUAAAAGGUACUCCGGGGAUAACAGGCUGAUACCGCCCAAGAGUUCAUAUCGACGGCGGUGUUUGGCACCUCGAUGUCGGCUCAUCACAUCCUGGGGCUGAAGUAGGUCCCAAGGGUAUGGCUGUUCGCCAUUUAAAGUGGUACGCGAGCUGGGUUUAGAACGUCGUGAGACAGUUCGGUCCCUAUCUGCCGUGGGCGCUGGAGAACUGAGGGGGGCUGCUCCUAGUACGAGAGGACCGGAGUGGACGCAUCACUGGUGUUCGGGUUGUCAUGCCAAUGGCACUGCCCGGUAGCUAAAUGCGGAAGAGAUAAGUGCUGAAAGCAUCUAAGCACGAAACUUGCCCCGAGAUGAGUUCUCCCUGAGACUUAAAGUCUCCUGAAGGAACGUUGAAGACGACGACGUUGAUAGGCCGGGUGUGUAAGCGCAGCGAUGCGUUGAGCUAACCGGUACUAAUGAACCGUGAGGCUUAACCUUACA